RNAcentral lists this long non-coding RNA (5245 nucleotides) under Taeniopygia guttata (zebra finch). Its description in RNAcentral is "lncRNA (ENSTGUG00000023161.1)". Lineage: Eukaryota; Metazoa; Chordata; Aves; Passeriformes; Estrildidae. The record is from RNAcentral.
AAUGAAUGAAUGAUCUGGUAGACAAUUAUCCCUCCACCUGGCCCUUAAGGGUUCCCUGUCUUUUACUCGUGAGCACAGGUAAAAGAUGUCUGGCUGCCAGGCUGUGAAAAUGUGAGGGUACCUAAGCAUGCACAUUGUAGCCCUCCUUGAAUGGCUUUAGAUCUUUGAACUGACUUGGCAUUUCAAAGCUGUACUGCAAUAUUGAAUUUUAGGUACAUGGAAGAGGCCUGGCAGGCCAUUCUUUCCACACAGCAGACAUGGAGAACAAGUCCAAUGCAGAUCACAUUUAGAGUAAAGCUGUCAAAUGUUUAGUAGCUGGCAAGUGGGAGCUCAGCCUAUUCCAUUAAUUAAUUUUCUUUGAUAUAAUCUUUCCCCUAGGGUGCUUUUCCAACUUAAAGCUAUGACUCUGAGUCUUACACUUUGAUAUCAGCUAUGACUACUAUAAUGGCCUGAGGAAAUUGGGUGAUUUAGAUCCAAGGCAAAAGGGACAGACCCAGGUCUGAGGAGUUAAUGAUUUUAAAAGGUGUGACCAGAGAGGAAGUGAGAGGAAGGGAAGGAAGGAAGGUUUGGUAAGUUAAUGGGCUCUGUUCUAGCAAUUCCUUUUAACCCACAUUUUUGUCCCUAAAUUGCAUUGGAGUUUUGCAACAGUUUCUUUUUUUAAUAAUCAGAGUAAUGAACAACUGGUGAAAUAAGGUGCUUUUUAGUGCUCUGACAGCAUUAAUUACUAGCAUAACUAACUCAAAGCCAGAGUAGUCACAGCAGAUCUAUAAUUCAAGAAGAAAAUUGUGUUCCAGGUCUCCCUAGAAGUAAAUAUGCAAUGCAGGAUCUAUGUGAUGACCUCUUAUGGAGUCUGGUAGAGAGAAGAUUAGAUUAUUUUAUCUCAGUGUUGCUUUUUAGUCUUAAUAUUUUCUUUUUCUUAUGUCAGUCAUGUUCCAGGAAAACAUCUCUAUUUUAGAGAGCAUUUAGCCAUAUGCUUACUCGGCAAAAUGACUUGCUUAAAUCUGUGAAUUCCUCUGUGACACAAGUACAUGCAAAACAGUUUGUCUGAAUUUGAUUUACAUUGAAGUUGGAAUUCACCAUGCCAGUAAAAGUGCUUUUUUUCCCGCACCAUCAUUAAAGUUGAUGUGAUCAUUAAGAGCAGCCUAAGUCUGCACUUGUAACUUUGGCUCAGAUCUGCCCAGUCCAGAUCCUGUGGGCUCUGGAAAGACAAAGUUUGGAUGCUUACAUAACUCCCCAACUUUGAUGUGGUUCAGUUUAUUUAUAACAGCAAGCUCUUGUGAAUAAUAAUUCCUGCUUCAAAGAGUUCAUAGUCAGCUUCAAGUUCUUGGCCCCACGCUGCUCCCCCUCCAGAGGAGCAGUCUGGUUAUCAGGGCACUUCCCUGCCGCCCGUGGGGGAGCGUGCACAGGGACAGUACCUCCAGUUUGAUUCCAGCUGGGCAAACCUCAGGACAAUGCCAUCAAUCAAUAAAGUAAUUCACUGGAUUGUCAACAUUUUCAGGCAUAAUUUUGAUGUUCAGUUUGAGCCUUUUGUCCUCUACUGUGUAUUUUUAGAGACUCUUGCCACUGGCAUUGGUGAAAUAUUUACAGAUGAAUUCUUUGACUUUCGAUGUCAUCCAAAUGCUCUAGGUGGCAAUUAAAACUCAAAAUAGAGCAGUGACAAAUUCAGAGUUGUGAAAAAUUUCAUUGCUCAGAACAAUAUUUUCACUUCAAUCCAUUCACUGAAUUUCUAUUGACACGUACAGGAAGUUUGCCCAAGGGCCCUUGAAGAAAGACAAAAUAUUUUGCCAGUAUUGCAUAAGGAUUCUAAAAGCAUUGUGUUUCACCAACCUGAUCUGACUUUCUGUCUUAAGAGAAAGGCACCAAGUACUCAGAAGAGAAAUUUCUGAAGGAAAAAAUUCAAAGGGAUUUUCCAGCCCUUUUGUUUGUGAUUAUAAAAACAACAUUGUGGAGUCUGAAGAUUCAGCAAGGAAUAUAGCUUGUGUUUCUGGAUUAAAUUGGACUUUUACAUUGCUAACUAACAUAUCAGGAGUGGUAUUCACCUACACUGUGGCCCUUUGAAGUGCUUUGUGGUGUGGAAAAUCACAUGUGGAGCCUUUUGUGGAGCGACUGGCUCAUCAUUUCAUCUUUCCAAGGGUGUGCUAUAACAUACCUCGUAUUUUCUUCCUAGGUCAGUAAUUUCAGGCCCUUAAUCACUUUUAUUGCUCUCCUGAAUGCAUUUUAAUUUCCAGUAGUUAGAACUUAAUGCAAUAUGCCCAGUGCAGUUGCAGCAAAGCCUCUAAGAGCUAAAAAGGACUUCAGUUAUCUCUUUGGUUUUUGACUGCAAUUAUGUUUUGCUUUAUUUGCUGCUAAUACCAAAAUGACAAAUUAUAUAUCUCCCAUCAUGGUAAUGAAUGUGCUCAAGCUAUUUACCACACACUAUAUAGAGCAACUAGUAUUUUUCUGACAUAGAUUGUGUUCCUUUUUGUUCUGUAUUUCUAGCCUGUUUCUGUGUCUUAUCUCUGUGAUUUCAUUAGCAUGCACAGAAGCUCUAGCCCAUUUAAGAGCUGUAUUCAUCUGCUCACAAUGGAUGAUCACCUUGUAACAAAAAAUCUGUCAGUUACAAGGAAUUAAGGCAAAAUAUGUCUGCCAUCAAGGAACAAACAAUCUCAAUACAACGCUGAGGCAGCACAGAAUUCACCUGGAGAAAAGAACAACACCACUCUUGUGGUUUAACCCAGAAUAUUUGUGAUGGGCACUACAGAAACUCCAUCCUCUUCUACAGAACAUAAAAGUUUUGAUAGGGCAGGGACUUCCUGAUUGGCAGAUGCUCUAGUGCUGGCCAGCCAGGUGGCUUUUGGUAAAUGUGUAUCUCUAAUGUUUGAAGGUCCCACCACCCACUGCUCUCAGUGUAGUCUUCAGCAAUCCUUUGCAUCAUUCCAUCUUCCCAGAGGCUGGGACAUGGUGUGGGAUGUCAUGCAUCCUCUCAGUGCCAAGUGUCUAUGAGACUGUUUCAGAAAUGGGUACCACUGUCUUAGUCAGUGCUUUCUGGGAGGCCAUAUCUCCCCAAAAUUUUCUUUUCAAGGCCCAGUGUAGCGUUCCAAGUGGUGGCAUGGGGCACAGGUUAUGUUUCCAGCCAUCCAGUGGUUGUUUUCACCAUUGUAAGAAGAUGGUUCUUGCCUUGGCAGGUUUUUGGGGCUGUUUAUAUAUUGAGUAAAAUUUUCUGUGGUGCAGAAGAUCUCUUUGGCCAGUUCAUGUCACCUGUUCUGCCCAUGCUCCCUCAUGACUCCUGUGCACCUGCUGAGAGCAGAUCACAGGACGCUGAAAAGUCCUUCACUCAGGCUAAGCCCUGCUCAGCCCCACAUGGAGUGUGUUAGCAGUUAGCAUUGUAGUAAAUUAAAAAUAAAGCACUGUACCAGCUACUAAGAAGAAAAUUAACUCUAUUUCAGCCAAAACCAGGGUGUGUUGACACAUGGGUGUCAACUGGGCACUCUUCAGAGGGAACAGAAGGAAAGAGGCACUUUCAGGGAGAGCUUUGUCUGGUCUGCUUUAGGCAUCUACCUUGGCAGGACACACCUUAAAGACUCUGUGUCUCUUCACUGAGUAAGUGGGGCAGGACUCUACUCUGUAGGUGUCUAAUGCAGGGUGAAAUGAAUCCUGUUUUAUUUCUCUCCAAUUUCAGCCCCAUUCAGAGUCAUGUGCAGCUGCAGAUUUCAGCUAUAGCAGCAGGUUUGGCAUCAGAAACUGAGGGGGGUGAUAAAUGAGAUGGAUCAGGACUAAUUUCCUAGGAUCUGCACAGACAAUAGGGAAUUUCUGCACCACCUAAGCACAGCUCUCAAAAUAAGAUAAUUACCAGCCUCUCUGUCCCACUUUCACAGUUUUAUAGCUUUGAUCAUGGGAGCCUUUGAGCCAGGCUCCUGACUCCCACAUUACAUAUGUACAGACUCCUGCACAACAAGCCCAUUUUGCCUAAGGACCCCCUGGGUGUGACUUGAGAAAUAACACUAGACUAAAAUAGGAUUUUAAUUUUCUCUAAAUAUAGUUCAAGUAGCCAGGCACAUUGCUGCUGGUGGAUACUUGGAUCAUAUGAUCAACCAUGAACACCUCCUGUAAAUAUCUUUCCUGCAAUAAAUACCACAGAAUUUAGUUUGCUGUUAUUUCUAAAAGCAAACUUCAGCUUCUGGAAGCUAAACAGCCUGAGCUACUUCUCAGGAUGAGAAGAAUGACUGAAGGGAGUGGGUAGAUGUGUUCAACAAAACAAGCAGCACAAUACCUUCAUAGAAGUGCUUUAUUUUUAAUUAAAGGGGACUUUUGUAAGUUGCCACUGUGCCUCAGUCUUCCUCACUUUAAGAGAUUAUGGCAGAGCAGUGCUCUGCAAGGUGGAAGAUAUUAAAAUUGAAAAUGUUGUUCAUUUAGUGCUGCUCCAGUACUGUCCAUCUCUCAAGGUCAUUAGCAAAUCUGCCUAAAGCCUCAUUUGACAGGCACUGAAGUUGCUCGAGUCUAAGCACUGUAAGGCUCAGUGGAAAUGAUGAGAUUUCACAAGCUAUAUUCAGCUUGCUAAGAUAUAAGCAGACACCCUCUGGGCACACUCAGGUCUCUCCAGCUGAGCAAGCUAGCCCAGGAGCCAGGGUUGACUUGGCCACUCUGUAACAUGUUCUCAGAAUGACAGAACAGAAGCCAGCAGGUCAGAAUGAUGGCCAUUAGACUGUUGCAAUUCACAAAAAAAAGUUUUAUUUCACCUUGGGCUGCAGAUUCAGUAUUGCUUAUUUCAGGAAAAAGCAGUAAUAAAUAAUGAGAGAAAACACCAGAUUUUCACAAGAUAAAUAGUCCCAAGGGCACAUGCAGGACAGAGGUCUUUUUUUUCCCAUGUCUUGCAAAAGAACUGGCUUCAUACUUGUUCUUUGUUCUUUUGUCCUACUUCUUGCAGAAGCAUCUUUGUUGAGACUUUAAAAAAUGGCACAGACCAUUAUUUACACUCCUGAGUUUUGCUCAGUCAUCCUCAGGAAUGGCUCUUUAUUCCAGAAAAAUGGGAGAGCUCCCUGGACUGCUCACACUGGAGACAGUGGCAGGCUUUGUUGUGACCCAGGCUUUUCUUGUCACAUACAAAAUGUUGACAGGAAUUAGUCUCCACUGGAAACCCCUGCCUGCCUGAGACAGAGGACAAUCCUGUGUUUAAACAAUCCUUAACAAUCCCUAGGAAUAGGAUAGUGGAAGGAUCUGCUGGGACAAGUCUCAUCUCCAGCUGUCACAUAUUAUCAAGUUCUAUCUA